GCAUGUCAUAGAUCCUCCCACUGACUUUAUCAAGUCAUGAGAAAUAUUAGAGACAAGUCAGUCCAGGGCACCUAAAUCAGUCAUACUGAUUAACCUUAACAACAUGGGUCAACUCGAGUCACCUAGCGAUCUAAUUAGCUUAAUGACUCGGGCUCGACCUUUGAGCCUGAAUCAAGAUCUAUUUGGUUUGAUCAAAGAUAUAGACUUGAUCAAC
Molecule: long non-coding RNA, 214 nt
Filed under: Elaeis guineensis (African oil palm)
Lineage: Eukaryota; Viridiplantae; Streptophyta; Magnoliopsida; Arecales; Arecaceae
Description: long non-coding RNA (EGUI_LNC060104)
Source: RNAcentral